This 371-nucleotide ribosomal RNA is filed under the name uncultured organism. RNAcentral's name for it is "bacterial SSU rRNA". It matches the Rfam family "Bacterial small subunit ribosomal RNA", at positions 526 to 896 of the family's 1533-position model. The record is from RNAcentral.
CGAAGGGGGCUAGCGUUGCUCGGAAUCACUGGGCGUAAAGCGCACGUAGGCGGAUCUUUAAGUCAGGGGUGAAAUCCUGGAGCUCAACUCCAGAACUGCCUUUGAUACUGGGGAUCUCGAGUCCGGGAGAGGUGAGUGGAACUGCGAGUGUAGAGGUGAAAUUCGUAGAUAUUCGCAAGAACACCAGUGGCGAAGGCGGCUCACUGGCCCGGUACUGACGCUGAGGUGCGAAAGCGUGGGGGGGCAAACAGGAUUAGAUACCCUGGUAGUCCACGCCGUAAACGAUAGAUGCUAGCCGUUGGCGGGUUUACUCGUCAGUGGCGCAGCUAAUGCAUUAAGCAUCCCGCCUGGGGAGUACGGUCGCAAGAUUA